GACGAACGCUGGCGGCGUGCUUAACACAUGCAAGUCGAGCGGUAAGGCCCUUUCGGGGGUACACGAGCGGCGAACGGGUGAGUAACACGUGGGUGACCUGCCCUCAGCUCUGGGAUAAGCCUGGGAAACCGGGUCUAAUACUGGAUAUGACUCCAUGACGCAUGUUGUGGGGUGGAAAGCCUUGCGCGGCUGAGGAUGGGCCCGCGGCCUAUCAGCUUGUUGGUGGGGGUGANGGCCUACCAAGGCGACGACGGGUAGCCGGCCUGAGAGGGCGACCGGCCACACUGGGACUGAGACACGGCCCAGACUCCUACGGGAGGCAGCAGUGGGGAAUCUUGCGCAAUGGGCGAAAGCCUGACGCAGCGACGCCGCGUGAGGGAUGACGGCCUGGUU
Molecule: ribosomal RNA, 393 nt
Filed under: uncultured bacterium
Lineage: Bacteria
Description: bacterial SSU rRNA
Rfam family: Bacterial small subunit ribosomal RNA
Source: RNAcentral